RNAcentral lists this transfer RNA (71 nucleotides) under Marmota monax (woodchuck). RNAcentral describes it as "tRNA.Ala". The record is from RNAcentral. Lineage: Eukaryota; Metazoa; Chordata; Mammalia; Rodentia; Sciuridae.
GAGGUUGUGGCUCAAUGGUAGACCACUUGCCUCGCAAAUGCAAGACCCUGGGUUCAAUCCUCAGCACCACA